CAGGUAGGGAUACCCGCUGAACUUAAGCAUAUCAAUAAGCGGAGGAAAAGAAACCAACAGGGAUUACCUCAGUA
This 74-nucleotide ribosomal RNA is filed under the name Podosphaera macrospora. RNAcentral describes it as "partial 28S ribosomal RNA". It matches the Rfam family "Eukaryotic large subunit ribosomal RNA", at positions 12 to 85 of the family's 3401-position model. The record is from RNAcentral. Lineage: Eukaryota; Fungi; Ascomycota; Leotiomycetes; Helotiales; Erysiphaceae.